UACGUAGGGUGCAAGCGUUGUCCGGAAUUAUUGGGCGUAAAGAGCUCGUAGGCGGUUUGUCGCGUCGAAUGUGAAAACCCGGGGCUCAACCCCGGGCCUGCAUUCGAUACGGGCAGACUAGAGUUCGGUAGGGGAGUCUGGAAUUCCUGGUGUAGCGGUGAAAUGCGUAGAGAUCCGGAGGAACACCAGUGGCGAAGGCGGCCCCCUGGGCCGCGCCUGACGCUGAGACGCGAAAGCGUGGGGAGCAAACAGG
Molecule: ribosomal RNA, 253 nt
Filed under: uncultured bacterium
Lineage: Bacteria
Description: partial 16S ribosomal RNA
Rfam family: Bacterial small subunit ribosomal RNA
Source: RNAcentral